GAUGAACGCUGGCGGCGUGCCUAAUACAUGCAAGUCGAGCGAACAGAUGAGGAGCUUGCUCCUCUGACGUUAGCGGCGGACGGGUGAGUAACACGUGGAUAACCUACCUAUAAGACUGGGAUAACUUCGGGAAACCGGAGCUAAUACCGGAUAAUAUAUUGAACCGCAUGGUUCAAUAGUGAAAGACGGUUUUGCUGUCACUUAUAGAUGGAUCCGCGCCGCAUUAGCUAGUUGGUAAGGUAACGGCUUACCAAGGCAACGAUGCGUAGCUGACCUGAGAGGGUGAUCGGCCACACUGGAACUGAGACACGGUCCAGACUCCUACGGGAGGCAGCAGUAGGGAAUCUUCCGCAAAGGGCGAAAGCCUGACGGAGCAACGCCGCGUGAGUGAUGAAGGUCUUCGGAUCGUAAAACUCUGUUAUUAGGGAAGAACAAAUGUGUAAGUAACUAUGCACGUCUUGACGGUACCUAAUCAGAAAGCCACGGCUAACUACGUG
Molecule: ribosomal RNA, 497 nt
Filed under: uncultured bacterium
Lineage: Bacteria
Description: partial 16S ribosomal RNA
Rfam family: Bacterial small subunit ribosomal RNA
Source: RNAcentral